CACGUAGGGGGCGAGCGUUGUCCGGAAUCAUUGGGCGUAAAGAGCUCGUAGGCGGCUCGGUAAGUCGGGUGUGAAACCCCCAGGCUCAACCUGGGGACGCCACCCGAUACUGCUGUGGCUAGAGUCCAGUAGGGGAGUGUGGAAUUCCCGGUGUAGCGGUGAAAUGCGCAGAUAUCGGGAGGAACACCAGCGGCGAAGGCGACUCACUGGACAUGUAUUGACGCUGAGGUGCGAAAGCGUGGGGAGCAAACAGG
Molecule: ribosomal RNA, 254 nt
Filed under: uncultured bacterium
Lineage: Bacteria
Description: partial 16S ribosomal RNA
Rfam family: Bacterial small subunit ribosomal RNA
Source: RNAcentral